Molecule: microRNA, 22 nt
Filed under: Pteropus alecto (black flying fox)
Lineage: Eukaryota; Metazoa; Chordata; Mammalia; Chiroptera; Pteropodidae
Also listed under: 7 other names
Description: pal-miR-450a-3p
Gene: pal-miR-450a-3p
Source: miRBase by way of RNAcentral
AUUGGGAACAUUUUGCAUUCAU